This 254-nucleotide ribosomal RNA is filed under the name uncultured bacterium. RNAcentral describes it as "partial small subunit ribosomal RNA". It matches the Rfam family "Bacterial small subunit ribosomal RNA", at positions 26 to 286 of the family's 1533-position model. The record is from RNAcentral.
AGGACGAACGCUGGCGGCGUGCUUAACACAUGCAAGUCGAGCGGAAAGGCCCUUCGGGGUACUCGAGCGGCGAACGGGUGAGUAACACGUGAGCAACCUGCCCCUGGCUCUGGGAUAGCCUUCGGAGACGGGGAUUAAUACCGGAUAUUCACUGCUUCCUGCAUGGGGGGUGUGGAAAGUUUUUCGGCUGGGUGGGGCUCGCGGCCUAUCAGCUUGUUGGGGGGGUGACGGCCCACCAAGGCGACGACGGGUAG